AGAGUUUGAUCCUGGCUCAGGACGAACGCUGGCGGCGUGCCUAAUACAUGCAAGUCGAGCGAAUCUUUAGAAGCUUGCUUCUAAAGGUUAGCGGCGGACGGGUGAGUAACACGUGGGCAACCUGCCUGUAAGACUGGGAUAACUUCGGGAAACCGGAGCUAAUACCGGAUAAUCCUUUCCCUCUCAUGAGGGAAAGCUGAAAGACGGUUUCGGCUGUCACUUACAGAUGGGCCCGCGGCGCAUUAGCUAGUUGGUGAGGUAACGGCUCACCAAGGCGACGAUGCGUAGCCGACCUGAGAGGGUGAUCGGCCACACUGGGACUGAGACACGGCCCAGACUCCUACGGGAGGCAGCAGUAGGGAAUCUUCCGCAAUGGACGAAAGUCUGACGGAGCAACGCCGCGUGAACGAUGAAGGCCUUCGGGUCGUAAAGUUCUGUUGUUAGGGAAGAACAAGUACCGGAGUAACUGCCGAUACCUUGACGGUACCUAACCAGAAAGCCACGGCUAACUACGUGCCAGCAGCCGCGGUAAUACGUAGGUGGCAAGCGUUGUCCGGAAUUAUUGGGCGUAAAGCGCGCGCAGGCGGUCCUUUAAGUCUGAUGUGAAAGCCCACGGCUCAACCGUGGAGGGUCAUUGGAAACUGGGGGACUUGAGUGCAGAAGAGGAAAGCGGAAUUCCACGUGUAGCGGUGAAAUGCGUAGAGAUGUGGAGGAACACCAGUGGCGAAGGCGGCUUUCUGGUCUGUAACUGACGCUGAGGNNCGAAAGCGUGGGGAGCAAACAGGAUUAGAUACCCUAGUAGUCC
RNAcentral lists this ribosomal RNA (805 nucleotides) under uncultured bacterium. RNAcentral describes it as "bacterial SSU rRNA". It matches the Rfam family "Bacterial small subunit ribosomal RNA", at positions 8 to 796 of the family's 1533-position model. The record is from RNAcentral.